Molecule: ribosomal RNA, 459 nt
Filed under: uncultured bacterium
Lineage: Bacteria
Description: partial 16S ribosomal RNA
Rfam family: Bacterial small subunit ribosomal RNA
Source: RNAcentral
CCUACGGGUGGCAGCAGUGAGGAAUAUUGGUCAAUGGGCGCGAGCCUGAACCAGCCAAGUCGCGUGAGGGAAGACGGUCCUAUGGAUUGUAAACCUCUUUUGUCGGGGAGCAAAAGACGCCACGCGUGGCGUUCCGCGAGUACCCGAAGAAAAAGCAUCGGCUAACUCCGUGCCAGCAGCCGCGGUAAUACGGAGGAUGCGAGCGUUAUCCGGAUUUAUUGGGUUUAAAGGGUGCGAAGGCGGAAGAUCAAGUCAGCGGUAAAAUUGAGAGGCUCACACUCGCUACGCCGUUGAAACUGGAGUUCUUGAGUGGGCGAGAGGUAUGCGGAAUGCGUGGUGUAGCGGUGAAAUGCAUAGAUAUCACGAAGAACUCCGAUUGCGAAGGCAGCAGACCGGCGUCCAACUGACGCUGAAGCACGAAAGCGUGGGUAUCGAACAGGAUUAGAUACCCUUGUAGUC